AGUUAAUCUAAUUUAAAUGCAAGUUUUAUAAAAAAAAACCGACUAGACAAAUACUAAAGCUUACAUUUGACUAGCAGCUGCGACCGAAAAGCGUGCCUAUCAAUUUGGAGCAAGUCAAGAACAAGGGAGGGAGGCCAAAGGCAGAUGCCUCUAAUCCUUUUAACGAUUAAUGGAACGAAUGUGAAUGCGAGCAUAUAAAUAGCUAAUCAGGAAGGGCAUCACUGAUAUCGUACUCUUGUUUCUGUUUGCUCGAACAACUCAAUUAGUUGGAUCGAUAUACUUGCGAGACUCAGACAAUUAGACACACAUGGCGUAUGCGUAAUGUACAAGAAAGGGGGGAAACAAGCCCCAGUUGUGUUGACUUGGAACGUUUGAUAUCCUACACUAAUAAUAAAAUAAGAAUAACGAGAAAACUAUAUGCUUCAAAAUUAAACUAAACAAUUUAAUGGAACUGAAUAAAAGGCAAAGACAACAUAUGUAGAUACAAUAAUAUUUGAAGAUUUCUUUCACCUUAUUAAAAGAUAAAGCUUAUUAAGAUUUACAAAAGUGUAGAUCACAGUAAGCAUUAUUUAAACACUAGAAAGAUGAAUUUAUUGUUUUGAAAUUUUAAGUCAUUGCAUUCAAUAUGUGUCUUUGUGAAAAGUGCGAAGGUCUAGAUGAAUGGUGUUGUUCAUUCGAACGAAAGCUUUGGUUCUUUUCUAUUUUUUCUCUAGGAAUGACAGUCUUUUGUGCCAUAUUGAUUUAUGCCUUCCGUAAUAUUAUUAGACCUAUUUAUGGUCUUACUGCAAUCAUCUCCCUUCACUUGAUUGCUGCUAUUACUGUGAUAAUCGGCAUUAAAAAAUCAAUGGACAAGCUCUUCCUGAUAGGCCUUAUUUUUAGUUCGAUCGCUCCCUAUACCUUUUUCAUGACGAUCUUUUGGCCAAUUAUGCACACACUUUUUAUAAUCAUUGGAUGUAGACAUAUAACAACCGAACCAGAUGUCUAAACUGUGAUCAAAAAGCUAGCAGAAUAUUUAUAUGAGACCAAUAGAAGAAAUGGAUGAGCUACAUUUGCCAAUCAGAAACCAUCUUUUAACUACUUUGAUUCCAUCCUAAUGCCUGAUGAACGUGUUAUGGUCAAUAGUAUAACGAAGACUGAGAUCAAAGUAGGCAACUAAAUAUACUAAAAUGUAUUCGAUAUUCAAUUCACUAGUCCGUAAAUAUCAAACUUAAUAUGUGCAUUUGUGAAUCGUUUACUUUUCUGGAUGAAUGGUGUUGGCCGUUGAAGCGAAAAAUUUGGUUCUUUGCGAUUUGGACUUUAGCCCAUGGCAUUCUUAUAUUAGCAGUUGAAUUGGUGUUUUUUAUACUGUCACUGAAAGAGUGCAAUAUUGAUGUGGGAUUUAUUAUUGCUAUUCCUCACAUAAUUGCUGGAAUUUUAAUGAUAUUAAGCAUACAAAAAUCUAAGGCAUCCCUAUUUAUGACGAGUAUUGUUAUUAGUUCAAUUCUUCCUUUCGGUUUCGGCAUUUCGAUAUAUUUGCCAAUCAUGCAAAUCAUAUUCAUAAUAAUUGGAUGCAGAUAUUAUAGUACUGUAUUAAAGGAAUAACUGUAAGAGUAUGAAAAAUUUUAAGCAAUGUAAAUACUAUAAAUAAUAUUAAUCAGUUAGCCAAUGAAGAAAGCUAAUACAGAAUUUUUUCUAUGGUUGCAAAUUAUUGUAAUAUACUAUAAGAUAUUAGAAGCGAGAUGUGCAUCUGCAGCGCAUGUAAAUGGAUUGACAACAUCUGCUGUCCGCUCGCCAAGAAAGCGCAAUUUUUUGCAUUUUGGACAUUGAUUCAUGGCUUGGUAAUGACCACCCUCAGUCUCAUUUACCAAUUCUGGGAGGAGAAAGAAUGGAAAUAUGCAGCAUUCGCAGUCGCCAUACCUCAUUUAGUUGCCGGAUUAUUAAUGGUAUAUAGCAUUUACAAGUCUUUACCAACUCUCUAUCUAGUGUCUGUGAUUGGCUCAUCGUUCGGUCCCUUUGCGCUCUUUUUAGUCGCAUAUUUGCCAAUAAUGCAAAUAUUUGAAAUAAUCGUUGCUUGUCGGUUUUAUAGUACGGUUUUGAAAUAAUUGAAAAUUGCAAAGUACGACUGUCAUGUUGAAAUUAUGUUAUAAGUGUACUCCAUUAAUUCAUCGUUUGUUUUCACGCACGGCUAGCGACAUACAAAUGCCGCAGUUUCUGCGUUUUUGGUCCAAUUAAGAAAGAGGGGAAUUAAAACUAUGCAAACUUA
This is an RNA transcript of Drosophila albomicans, 2242 nucleotides long. RefSeq lists it as uncharacterized. Lineage: Eukaryota; Metazoa; Arthropoda; Insecta; Diptera; Drosophilidae. The transcript has 11 exons. The record is from RefSeq and is a predicted model, not a curated record.